AACCAUUCUCACCUGCGGCUAGACCUGCGGAGGGAUCAUUACAAGUGACCCCGGUCUAACCACCGGGAUGUUCAUAACCCUUUGUUGUCCGACUCUGUUGCCUCCGGGGCGACCCUGCCUUCGGGCGGGGGCUCCGGGUGGACACUUCAAACUCUUGCGUAACUUUGCAGUCUGAGUAAACUUAAUUAAUAAAUUAAAACUUUUAGCAAUGGAUCU
RNAcentral lists this unclassified non-coding RNA (216 nucleotides) under soil metagenome. RNAcentral's name for it is "partial contains 5.8S ribosomal RNA, internal transcribed spacer 2, and large subunit ribosomal RNA". The record is from RNAcentral.